GACGAACGCUGGCGGCGUGCUUAACACAUGCAAGUCGAACGGAAAGGCCCUGCUUGUGUGGGGUUCUCGAGUGGCGAACGGGUGAGUAACACGUGAGUAACCUGCCCUUGACUUUGGGAUAACUUCAGGAAACUGGGGCUAAUACCGGAUAGGAGCUCCUGCUGCAUGGUGGGGGUUGGAAAUUUUCGGCGGUUGGGGAUGGACUCGCGGCUUAUCAGCUUGUUGGUGGGGGAGUGGCUUACCAAGGCUUUGACGGGUAGCCGGCCUGAGAGGGUGACCGGCCACAUUGGGACUGAGAUACGGCCCAGACUCCUACGGGAGGCAGCAGUGGGGAAUAUUGCACAAUGGGCGGAAGCCUGAUGCAGCAACGCCGCGUGCGGGAUGACGGCCUUCGGGUUGUAAACCGCUUUCGCCUGUGACGAAGCGUGAGUGACGGUAAUGGGUAAAGAAGCACCGGCUAACUACGUG
RNAcentral lists this ribosomal RNA (468 nucleotides) under uncultured bacterium. Its description in RNAcentral is "partial 16S ribosomal RNA". It matches the Rfam family "Bacterial small subunit ribosomal RNA", at positions 28 to 507 of the family's 1533-position model. The record is from RNAcentral.